UGUUCACUUUCUGAAGAUUCAUCUCUUAUAACUUUUGGGCUUUAUCUCUGGAGAUGAUUUCUCCAUUGCUAGCAAUCCGUCUGUCUCUGUCUCCCUCACAAUUUCAUACUCGACGUGACAUUCAAUCUAUCGCCAAGAAAGAGGUCGCCGAUACGCCCGGUGAGGAAUUCCAGUACCAAGCCGAGAACUGCAAUGGUUGGAGAGUGAACCUAAUGUGACAAUCCUGUGUAAAGAUUGCAUUGAUGGGUUUCCUGGUUUGAUUGAGAAAGACGGUUCUAAUGUGUUUGUAAAUUGGGUUAAGAGCAAUCAGAUCAAAACUGUUACAAGCAAUAAUCCAGGUUGCCAUUAACGUCGUCUUUGUUGCCGCUGUUCACUCAGAAGGGACUAAUUAUUGGGUGUUUUCCGCGCAGACGUCCAUUUUGGGAAAGCUUAGUAAUUCUGCUCGUCAUAGUGUUUUAUGCAUUCCAAGGAAGCCAGUUGGGAUAUCAUGGUGUAAUGUUGAUGCCAAAGAGGAGUUUGUCAGACCUUAUAAUGAUGUUAGAUUGCAUAACCAGCAUAAAUCGUCCAGGCAUACAGUUGUACAAUGUGGACUUGUUGAAACUGGAACCCUUGAUGAAGCCUUACCAGAAGUAAAUAUGGUCUAAGAAGUUAGGGGGCUGUGCUUUUAAUGACAUUUCUCUUUGCACUUAUGGUAGUAGCCCAUCCUUUUGUUCUGUUGUUGGAUGGAUAUAGAAGAGGUCCUCAUAUAUUCAUUGCCAAAAUUUGGGCCACGUUUGCUGUUACUCUUAUUUUUUUUGUUUAUUCAAUUGUGAUUUCAGUUCAAAGAAUUGAUAUUGGCAAUUACUUUAUGUACAAUGUUCAUGGCACACUUGGGAUUAUAUGAAUUGAUAAGUAUUUCAGGUUUAAAGUGCAGAUAUGCAUUUUAGCUGGACUUUCUGGACGUCUCUUGUUUCCUUCCUAUUUCAGUCAAAACUAUGAUCAUUUAUUGCAGUUCGUCUGAUGAAUCUUGCCACCUUGCAUUAAUCUCCAUAUUAGGUACAGUUCCUUCCAAGAAUUUUGUUCAUCAUGUAGUUCCAAAGGUCCUAGUUCCUGCUUGCAGAAGUCACAGGAUAUUGAAAAUUCAACAUUAUUUUCAUCAGAAGGGUUAAAAUGUGACCUAUGUUGAGAAAGUCUCAUGCAUCAACAUCGGGGCAGCAAUGGUGGUGUUUGGAUCAAUGAAGAAGCAGAGAUAAAUGAUGUCCUUAUAGCUUUUGGCAGGAUACAAUUUGGAUGUAAAUAUGAUGCCUUGAAAUUUCAAAUGCAUCCGGCACCUGAUAUGUAACUUUUCAAGUUAUUAUAUUUGUAAAGUACUGGCUAAUAAGCAUGUUAACAUAUAUUUAUGCUACUUAUUUACCUAUUACU
This is a long non-coding RNA of Rosa rugosa (rugosa rose), 1401 nucleotides long. RefSeq lists it as uncharacterized. The transcript has 7 exons. The record is from RefSeq and is a predicted model, not a curated record. Lineage: Eukaryota; Viridiplantae; Streptophyta; Magnoliopsida; Rosales; Rosaceae.